UGGGGAAUAUUGGACAAUGGGCGAAAGCCUGAUCCAGCCAUGCCGCGUGUGUGAAGAAGGUCUUCGGAUUGUAAAGCACUUUAAGUUGGGAGGAAGGGCAUUAACCUAAUACGUUAGUGUUUUGACGUUACCGACAGAAUAAGCACCGGCUAACUCUGUGCCAGCAGCCGCGGUCAUACAGAGGGUGCAAGCGUUAAUCGGAAUUACUGGGCGUAAAGCGCGCGUAGGUGGUUUGUUAAGUUGGAUGUGAAAUCCCCGGGCUCAACCUGGGAACUGCAUUCAAAACUGACUGACUAGAGUAUGGUAGAGGGUGGUGGAAUUUCCUGUGUAGCGGUGAAAUGCGUAGAUAUAGGAAGGAACACCAGUGGCGAAGGCGACCACCUGGACUAAUACUGACACUGAGGUGCGAAAGCGUGGGGAGCAAACA
Molecule: ribosomal RNA, 427 nt
Filed under: uncultured bacterium
Lineage: Bacteria
Description: partial 16S ribosomal RNA
Rfam family: Bacterial small subunit ribosomal RNA
Source: RNAcentral